RNAcentral lists this ribosomal RNA (518 nucleotides) under uncultured bacterium. RNAcentral's name for it is "bacterial SSU rRNA". It matches the Rfam family "Bacterial small subunit ribosomal RNA", at positions 8 to 526 of the family's 1533-position model. The record is from RNAcentral.
AGAGUUUGAUCAUGGCUCAGGACGAACGCUGGCGGCGUGCUUAACACAUGCAAGUGGAGCGACGAACCAGGGCUUGCCCUGGGGCAGAGCCGCGAACGGGUGAGUAACACGUGGGUUACCUACCCCGAUGACCGGGACAACCCGAGGAAACUCGGGCUAAUACCGGAUGUGGUCUUCGGACGAAAGGAAGCUUCGGCCUCCGCAUCGGGAUGGGCCCGCGGCGCAUUAGCUUGUUGGUGGGGUAACGGCCUACCAAGGCGACGAUGCGUAGCUGGUCUGAGAGGACGAUCAGCCACACUGGGACUGAGACACGGCCCAGACUCCUACGGGAGGCAGCAGUGGGGAAUCUUGCGCAAUGCGCGAAAGCGUGACGCAGCAACGCCGCGUGGGGGAAGAAGGCCUUCGGGUUGUAAACCCCUUUCAGGAGGGACGAAGCCCGGGCGGUGAAUAGCCGACCCGGGUGACGGUACCUCCAGAAGAAGCCCCGGCUAACUACGUGCCAGCAGCGGCGGUAAUUC